GGAACCGCUAAUCUUGUUCAGAAGGUAAUCUUUUGUUCUAUUUAUCAGUCCCCCUCUCCUUUUAGUAGUUGGGAAACAUGAAAGAAAAGAGAUCUGUUAAGUUUGUUUGGUUAUGCUUGUACCUCAACUUUUUUUGUAGUAUAUAACAGUCUCAGUUAAGAGGAAUUCUUUGUUUCUUUAGAUUCCUCAUGGCAAUUUAUUGAUUUCUUUUGUCUUUCCCCCUUCAACUUGGCUGAGAAAAGUGCCUUUAGCUAUGUUUAGUCAAGUUGUAAAUUAUAAAGUUUGUUGAGAACUUUGAAAUUUUGAUCAGGAUUCUUUUAUAUCCAUAUAUGCUUUAAUCUAUUUGGUGAAAUGGGUUCUGUAGAACUGUUCACUGUCUGAAAAUAUACCAAUUAAAAUGGUAUAAUUUGGUACAAUCUUCCAUGCAUUUUUCAUUGUAAUAAUAUUCUCAUGUGUGUGUGUUUUGCAGUGGUUAUCGUGGAAGUGGUCCUAUUUUAUAGGCUGCCUGUUUACAUUUAUUGCAGGAUUUAACUUCAUUAGUUGUACUUUAUCCUUAGAUGAUUAUCUUCUAAUGUUAAGUGAUGCUUUUGCGCCCUUUUAUUUCUGUAGUGCAAGUUUUGUGGGAGGGAG
This 630-nucleotide unclassified non-coding RNA is filed under the name Hevea brasiliensis (rubber tree). Lineage: Eukaryota; Viridiplantae; Streptophyta; Magnoliopsida; Malpighiales; Euphorbiaceae. The record is from RNAcentral.